UCUAAGCACAUGCCUUAAUACGGUGAAGCCGCGAAUAGCUCAUUACAACAGCCAUCGUUUAUUAGAAUAUCGUUAUCCUACUUGGAUAACUGUGGCCAUUCUAGAGCUAAUACAUGCAAUAAAGCUCCGCCCGCAAGGAACGAGCGCAUUUAUUAGAAUAAAAACCAAUCGAGCUUCGGUUCGUAAUUUGGUGAAUCUGAAUAACUUUGCCAAUCGCACAGUCCUAGUACUGGCGAUGUAUCUUUCAAGUGUCUGCCUUAUCAACUUUCGAUGGUACGCUAUACGCCUACCAUGGUAGUAACGGGUAACGGAGAAUAAGGGUUCGACUCCGGAGAGGGAGCCUGAGAAACGGCUACCACAUCCAAGGAAGGCAGCAGGCGCGCAAAUUACCCACUUCCAGAACGGAGAGGUAGUGACGAAAAAUUACGAGACAGUCCUCUUCGAGG
This 446-nucleotide ribosomal RNA is filed under the name unidentified nematode Sourhope farm. Its description in RNAcentral is "SSU rRNA". It matches the Rfam family "Eukaryotic small subunit ribosomal RNA", at positions 58 to 501 of the family's 1831-position model. The record is from RNAcentral. Lineage: Eukaryota; Metazoa; Nematoda.